Molecule: ribosomal RNA, 301 nt
Filed under: uncultured bacterium
Lineage: Bacteria
Description: partial 16S ribosomal RNA
Rfam family: Bacterial small subunit ribosomal RNA
Source: RNAcentral
CAGCCGCCACGGGAAUACGAAGGGUGCAAGCGUUACUCGGAAUUACUGGGCGUAAAGCGUGCGUAGGUGGUGGUUUAAGUCCGUUGUGAAAGCCCUGGGCUCAACCUGGGAAUUGCAGUGGAUACUGGGUCACUAGAGUGCGGUAGAGGAUAGUGGAAUUUCCGGUGUAGCAGUGAAAUGCGUAGAGAUCGGAAGGAACAUCUGUGGCGAAGGCGACUAUCUGGGCCAACACUGACACUGAGGCACGAAAGCGUGGGGAGCAAACAGGAUUAGAUACCCCAGUAGUCCCUGUCUCUUAUAC